AUUACAACAGUUAUCGUCUGCUUGGAGCGUCCCUACCACCGGAUAUCCGUGGUAAUUCUACAGUUAAUACGUAUCGGCUUCUUCGGAAGUGUUGCAUAUUACUGUGAACAUUCGGCAGGGGCAACCUUGCCAACCAUGAACACUUUUAUGCGCGAAUCGUUGCUUGCAACGAGGGUCCAUCACGGUUUCUGACCUAUCAGGUGCCGACGGUAGGGUAUUGGCCUACCGUGCCUAUAACGGGUAACGGGGGAUUAGGGUUUGAUCCCGGAGAGGGAGCAUGAGAGACGGCUACCACAUCUAAGGAAGGCAGCAGGCGCGUAAAUUACCGAUCGGUGACUCGCCGAGGUAGUAAACAGAAAUAAUGACGCAUGAUUCUUAUCGUGCGAUCGGAAUGAAUAGCUUCUAAACAAAGCUAUGAAAUCCAUUGGAGGGCAAGUCUGGUGCCAGCAGCCGCGGUAAUUCCAGCUCCAAUAGCGUAUAUUAAAGUUGUUGCAGUUAAAAAGUUCGUAGUCGACCUUCAUCUGCUCGGGUGGUUUGGCGUCUAUGACGUUCAACCACUUUCAGCAGAGAGCGUGCUGGGCGCAUCCCAUGCGUUUCGUAUGUGGGUGUCUCAUGCAUCUUACUUUGAGUGAAUCGGCGUGUUCCACGCAGGCUGCCGCCCUGAACGAUUUACCAUAGAAUAACAAGAGUAUGGGAACGUCCCUUUGUUUGUUCGGGGGUGUUUUCUAUAUCGAUAAGCACGGUCGAGGGCAUUCCUAGUCAACUGCCAGAGGUGAAAUUCUUUGAUUAGUUGAGGAGGAACUAUUGCGAAAGCAUUUGCCAAGGACGCCGCUUUUGAUCAAGAACGAAAGUUAGGUGAUCGAAGAUGAUUAGAUACCGUCGUAGUCCUAACUAUAAACGUUGCUAUCCAAGCGUUGGAUUGGUGACUUUAUACCUUUCCAGUACCUCUUGAGAAAUCGCGAGUCUCUGAGUUCUGGGGGGAGUAUAGUCGCAAGGCCGAAACUUAAAGGAAUUGACGGAAGGGCACCACCAGGGGUGGAGCUUGCGGCUUAAUUUGACUCAACACCGAGAAGUUUACUAGGACAAGACAUGUGGAGGAUUGACAGAUUGAUCGCUCUUUCUUGAUUCUAUGGGUGGUGGUGCAUGGCCGUUCUUAGUUCGUGGAGUAAUUUGUCAGGUUAAUUCCGUUAACGAACGAGACUUUGACUUGCUAAUUGGUGAUAUCUAUUGAAUGGUGUUCGCCGUUAGAAGGACUAUGAAUUUCCAAUUCAAGGAGGCUCGAAGCAAUAACAGGUCUGUGAUGCCCUUAGAUGUUCUAGGCAGCACGCGUGCUACAAUGAUGCAUACAAUGUGUUAUGCCUUCCGAGAGGACGGUGCAAUCAUCAAUAUGUAUCAAACCAGGGAUUGUUUGUCGGAAUGUCAACCAUGAACGAGGAAUCCCUAGUAAGCGCGUGUCAUCAACUCGCGUUGACUAUGUCCCUGCCCUUUGUACACACCGCCUGUCGCAUCUAUCGAUUAGGUCACUUUGUGAAUUGGACGGAGACAGCUUCGGGGGGUGCGAAUCCCUCGUUUUUGGCGAAGUCCCGUAAACACAGUGUCCCAGAGACAGAUAAAGUCAUAACACGGUAAUC
RNAcentral lists this ribosomal RNA (1631 nucleotides) under uncultured eukaryote. RNAcentral's name for it is "SSU rRNA". It matches the Rfam family "Eukaryotic small subunit ribosomal RNA". The record is from RNAcentral.